CGCGGGGUGGAGCAGCCCGGUAGCUCGCGAGGCUCAUAACCUCGAGGUCGCAGGUUCGAAUCCUGGCCCCGCCA
Molecule: transfer RNA, 74 nt
Filed under: Planctomycetaceae bacterium
Lineage: Bacteria; Pseudomonadati; Planctomycetota; Planctomycetia; Planctomycetales; Planctomycetaceae
Description: tRNA-Met
Rfam family: tRNA
About the family: Transfer RNA (tRNA) molecules are approximately 80 nucleotides in length.
Source: RNAcentral